This 283-nucleotide ribosomal RNA is filed under the name Babesia microti. RNAcentral describes it as "partial 18S ribosomal RNA". It matches the Rfam family "Eukaryotic small subunit ribosomal RNA", at positions 525 to 830 of the family's 1831-position model. Lineage: Eukaryota; Apicomplexa; Aconoidasida; Piroplasmida; Babesiidae. The record is from RNAcentral.
CUAAACCCUUCCCAGAGUAUCAAUUGGAGGGCAAGUCUGGUGCCAGCAGCCGCGGUAAUUCCAGCUCCAAUAGCGUAUAUUAAAGUUGUUGCAGUUAAGAAGCUCGUAGUUGAAUUUCUGCCUUGUCAUUAAUCUCGCUUCCGAGCGUUUUUUUAUUGACUUGGCAUCUUCUGGAUUUGGUGCCUUCGGGUACUAUUUUCCAGGAUUUACUUUGAGAAAACUAGAGUGUUUCAAACAGGCAUUUGCCUUGAAUACUACAGCAUGGAAUAAUGAAGUAGGACUU